UUACCCUUGCGCGCUGAUGGUUCCCGGCGACGGGAUCAAAAGGGAACGCAGUGUGAGACUGCGGCUGCCCCCGCAACUGUGAACGGCGAGUCCAUGCCAGAGCAGGCCACUGGGAAACCGGGAAGGCCGGCAGCGGACGUCGACCCGCAAGCCAGGAGACCUGCCAUCAACCGAGUCCAGCAG
This 183-nucleotide non-coding RNA is filed under the name Paraburkholderia unamae. Lineage: Bacteria; Pseudomonadati; Pseudomonadota; Betaproteobacteria; Burkholderiales; Burkholderiaceae. The record is from RNAcentral.